Long non-coding RNA from Alosa sapidissima (American shad), 668 nucleotides. RefSeq lists it as uncharacterized. Lineage: Eukaryota; Metazoa; Chordata; Actinopteri; Clupeiformes; Clupeidae. The record is from RefSeq and is a predicted model, not a curated record. The transcript is spliced from 3 exons.
UAAAACACACAUGAUAAAUUAUUUAGCGCUACUGGGAUUACAAUAUGUUUUUUUUUUUUUUAAAUCAGGGAAAACAAAGAAUGCUCCAUGCUGAAGGCAGGACUGUUUGCAGAGCUUCAGAGAAGCGUUUUGAUGCUAAAUACAGAGAGAAGAGAUUGAGAGAGAGAGAGAGAGAGACCAAGAGAGGGAGAGGGAAAGAGAGAUCUGCAAACUGCUUAUGCAAGAAUAAUUGCUGUGUGUGCGGAAGCCCACCUGGCCUGACGGAGCGCGGAGGAGAGAGUGCAGGAGGAGGAGGAGGAGGAGACGACGCAGGAAUGCUCCUGACACGCGAGGUGCACCGGAGACGUUACCGUGGCGUGGUCCUCGCUAGUGUUCCUGCAGUGGCAUCUCACAGAUGCUGUGACAACGCUGCCCCAGUUACUGUUCCGAGGCGCUUGCGUCUGAAGAUCAUAUCUCUGCUUGCUUCCCAGCCACCAAAAAUCUUAUCUGAUGCCGUCAUGCACGCACAAAAAAAAGACAUCUUCUUGUUCAUGUUCUCAUACGUUCCUAUAUUGUGUUCCAGACACAAGUGAAUGUUAUAUAAUUUGCUCUUAAGCAUUAUGUAUGAAGUUCGACACAGAUUUCAGCUUCAGAUUAAUGCCUUUCAACGUGUCCACAAUGGGUUUCAG